GACCUACGGGAGGCAGCAGUGAGGAAUAUUGGUCAAUGGCCGAGAGGCUGAACCAGCCAAGUCGCGUGAGGGAAGACGGCCCUACGGGUUGUAAACCUCUUUUGUCGGGGAGCAAAGCGAGUCACGUGUGACUCAUUGAGAGUACCUGAAGAAAAAGCAUCGGCUAACUCCGUGCCAGCAGCCGCGGUAAUACGGAGGAUGCGAGCGUUAUCCGGAUUUAUUGGGUUUAAAGGGUGCGUAGGCGGGACCUUAAGUCAGAGGUAAAAUUGCGGGGCUCAACGCCGUAGAGCCGUUGAAACUGGGGU
This 305-nucleotide ribosomal RNA is filed under the name uncultured bacterium. Its description in RNAcentral is "bacterial SSU rRNA". It matches the Rfam family "Bacterial small subunit ribosomal RNA", at positions 334 to 639 of the family's 1533-position model. The record is from RNAcentral.